This 11166-nucleotide long non-coding RNA is filed under the name Mytilus galloprovincialis (Mediterranean mussel). The record is from RNAcentral. Lineage: Eukaryota; Metazoa; Mollusca; Bivalvia; Mytilida; Mytilidae.
UUUCCUUCUUAAGGACAACAGCUAAAAGAAUUACUUCACUUCUCGUAUGUAUUAUGUGUUAUAGUCUAUCUGUAAGGAUGAAAAAGGAGGCGUUCAUCUGUGUGAUUCUCGCAAUUAUUCUCAGUGGUAAGUUCUUCUGACAGUGAAAAAUUAAAUACUAUGUAAAAUGACAUGUUUUCUUCUUUUAGUUUACAACUGUCAUUCAACGAAGUUAUAUAUAGUGACAAUUGUUAAUUUAAACAAAUACAUUAUGUACAUUUACAGAAUAUUGAAUACGAAACACAAUAUGGAAUUUACCAAUUUCACAGAAUAUAUGUAAAAGAACACAGUCACCGUCAACUGAAUGACAAAAGAAGUUAAAAUUAUCCUUUUCUCUCAAUUUUACUAGAGUUGGAGUUACGAAUGUUUUUCUCAAGUGAAACUAUUGCAAUCGCCCAUUUUAAAUAUCAUAAACAAAGAGGCGAUACCGUAUACUAUAUGUACCAAUGAAAUGAAUCAAAAUCCGAUGUGACGGUAAGUUGUAAAAGAGUUUUCAAGCUUGUGAUUUAAAAACUUGAUUGAAGAUCUAGAGAACCGGUCACAUUUUCUUUUACUCGACCUGCAAGUCAAAUACGUUUUGUUAAAGUACCAGUGGCGGAUCCAGAGGGGGGGGGUUCCGGGGGUGCGCACCCCCCUUUAUUUUUGCCGAUCAAUGCAUUUGUAUCGGGACAUAUGUUUUGCACCCCCCCUUUGCCCUGGGUUAGCACCCCCCCCCCCCCUUUUCGAAAAUUCCUGCAUCCGCCCCUGAGUACACUUCUUCAUAUACAUCUUUUUGCCGGGUCUUUUGGAAAAUGUUGUUUGUGCUGUCACGAUUUAGACCCCUCUAUCAAGAAAUUUGUUUUGCAUGCACACAUUUUAAUCCAACGCAAUCAUAGGUUUGAACGUUGUUUUCAAUUUAGACUUAUUUAUAUUUUUUCGUUUGGGCUUGUUUUAUAUUUGCCGACUUAGGGUUUAUAUGCACCCGUUCAUCAUAGUCUUAUUUUGACUCUUUCAAAAUUGAAAAGUCUAUCCUAAAUUGAGGUACAUUAUAUGGCCAUCCAAAUACCGUUUUGAUUCCGGCCUAAUAUCACUAAAGAAACAUUAUUGUCGAAAUCCGGAUGUCACGGCAAAUUUUUGCACCUCAGGUUUGCGGUAUACCGUCUUUUCCGCCGCAAGUUUAGUGUUUUCUUUUUGGUAACAUAUUAGUAAUAAGAUCAAUUUUGUUAUAUCUGGUGAUCCGUUUACUUUGUAAUCGCCAAUGGCACAGUCAGCACCAGUUGUUCGACCUGCUAGUCAACAUAUACUUUUUAUACGACCCCAAAAAUUGAAAUUUUUUUGGUCGUAUAUUGGUAUCACGUUGGCGUUGUCGUCUGCGUCGUCGUCGUCGUCCGAAUACUUUUAGUUUUCGCACUCUAACUUUAGUAAAAUUAAAUAGAAAUCUAUGAAAUUUUAACACAAGGUUUAUGACCACAAAAGGAAGGUUGGGAUUGAUUUUGGGAGUUUGGUUCUAACAGUUUAGGAAUCAGGGGCCAAAAAAGGGCCCAAAUAAGCAUUAUUCUUGGUUUUCGCACAAUAACUUUAGUAUAAGAAAAUAGAAAUCAAUGAAAUUUAAACACAAGGUUUAUGACCACAAAAGGAAGGUUGGGAUUGAUUUUUGGAGUUGAGGUCCCAACAGUUUAGGAAUUAAGGGCCAAAAAGGGGCCCAAAUAAGCAUUUUCUUGGUUUUCGCACCAUAACUUUAGUAUAAGUAAAUAGAAAUCUAUGAAAUUUAAACACAAGGUUUAUGUCCAUAAAAGGAAGGUUGGGAUUGAUUUUGGGAGUUUUGGUCCGUACAGUUUAGGAAUAAUUAAAGGGGCCCAAAGGGUCCAAAAUUAAAUUUUGUUUGAUUUCAUCAAAAAUUGAAUAAUUGGGGUUCUUUGAUAUGCCGAUUCUAACUGUGUAUGUAGAUUCUUAAUUUUUGGUCCCGUUUUCAAAUUGGUCUACAUUAAGGACCAAAGGGUCCAAAAUUAAACUUAGUUUGAUUUUAACAAAAAUUGAAUCCUUGGGGUUCUUUGAUAUGCUGAAUCUAAAAAUGUACUUAGAUUUUUGAUUAUUGGCCAAGUUUUCAAGUUGGUCCAAAUCAGGAUCCAAAAUUAUUAUACUAAGUAUUGUGCAAUAGCAAGAAAUUUUCAAUUGCACAGUAUUCAGCAAUAGCAAGAAAUCUUCAAUUGCACAGUAUUGUGCAAUAGCAAGAAAUUUUCAAUUGCACAGUAUUGUGCAAUAGCAAGAAAUCUUCAAUUGCACAGUAUUGUGCAAUAGCAAAUAUUUUCAAUUGCACAGUAUUGCGCAAUAGCAAGAAAUAUCUAAUUGCACAAUAUUGUGCAAUAGCAAGAUUUUUUUUUCAAUUGGAGUUAUCUUUCUUUGUCCAGAAUAGUAGUUGAAUCAACUUAAAUCAUUGUUUUAUACAAUAUACAAUGUAUAUUCACUUUUACUACCAACUGAUAAAUUAAAACAAUCUUUACCAUUCAGUGAUAACAAGCACUUUUUUUACAUUUUAAUAUUUUAUGCUGUAUUUAAAUGAGUAGUUAUUGUUGCAAUCUCCAUUAGAAAUUUGAAUUGAGAUCAGUUUUGGAAAAAGGGAAAGGGGGAUGUGAAAAAAAAUGGGGGGGGGGGGGUUCAAUUUUUCUCAUUUCAGAUUUCAUAAAUAAAAAGAAAAUUUCUUUAAACAUUUUUUUGAGAGGAUUAAUAUUCAACAGCAUAGUGAAUUGGUCAAAGGCAAAACAAAAAUUUUAAGUUCAUUAGACCACAUUCAUUCUGUGUCAGAAACCUAUGCUGUGUCAACUAUUUAAUCACAAUCCAAAUUUAGAGCUGAAUCCAGCUUGAAUGUUGUGUCCAUACUUGCCCCAACCGUUCAGAGUUCAACCUCUGCGAGCUGCGCCCUGCGGAGCAUCUGGUUCACUUUUGUGGUCUUUUGGAAAAUGAUGUUUGUACUGUAUCUAAACCCUUCUACAACGAAAUUUGUUUUGCAUGCACAUGUAUACAAAUUGCGGUUUUUAUCCAACGCAAUCGAUUCUUGUUAAUUCAAUAUCAAUUCUGACAUUGUAUACUAAUUUUUCAAAUUCACUCUGAAAAGAUUACACCACAUUAAUUAUAUGGUAGCUGUAACUUAUAAUUGUUAUAUUAUAAUAUCGAUAAGCUAGCUAAAUAAACAAUUUUGUAUUGUUUGGUAUAUAUAUCAUCACAUAUAUAUAGGAUCAGGGGCGGAUCCAGUCAUUUAAAAAAAAGGGGGGGUCCUAACCCAGGGCAAAAAAAAAGGGUGUGUGUUCCAACUUCAUCAUAUGUCCCCAUUCAAAUGCAUUGAUCUUCCAAAAAAAAGGGGGGUUCCAAACCCCGGACCCCCCCUUGGAUCCGCCAUUGAGGAUCAUAUAGAGACAUUGAUCCCCUUUCUUAAAUUUUGUAGUAUGCAAAAUAAAGGCAACAGUAGUAUACCGCUGUUUAAACUCAUAAAUCCAUGGACAAAAAACAAAAUCGGGGUAACAAACUAAAACUGAGGGAAACGCAUUAAAAUAUAUAAGAGGAGAACAACACAGGGAACAAAUUAAGUCUAUUAUUGUAGAAUUUUAGAAAUAAUAUAAUUCUUUAUCAUUUUUAGAAUUUUUUAGAGUAAUCUUAAUGUUCUUGUAUAUCUUAGUUAUCUUGGUAGUUCUGUUGUGCUGGGUGAUGUAUCGAUUAUGGGUAAAUCCCCUGUUUCUAUUUAUAACGCUAGCUAAUACAUUUCAUAGAGUUUACGCGGGAAUUUUUCUCGUGCUGCACGAUGUUCAUGGACUUGGAUAUUUAUACUUGGAUAUUUAUAAAACCUCGUCUUGACAAUAUUUCUUUAGAUUGGUGAACACUUUCGUGCUGGUAAGUUGUGCAUUGUUAGUUUUAUUCAGUUUCAAAGUUUGACUUAUUUAAUUAAAUAUUGCAAAAUAAACAACAAUUUAAAAACAAAGCAAUGGUGUUAUGGCACAAUAUUGAAGAGGCCCCUCAUGGGGGUGCACAAUUAAUCAUAUAAUCACAAAUAUUCUGUCAGUAUAAUAACAUAAUCAUUAAAAAAAUUAAACAAGAUAAUGAAAUAAUAAAAAAAAACACACCUAGAUCAGAGACAUAAAAUACUAUUUUGGGCGUUUUUCAAUAAAAACGUAUUUUCUUGUCCCAGCCACUUAAAAAAAAAAAUGUUUGUCAGUUUGAUCUUUGUAAGUAAUUUUUUGUGCAGUCAGUACAUUGAAUUUGAUUUAACAUUUUUAAGCAAAGAAACAGUUUAUUUAAUUUUUUAGAGUGAUUGAUAAGAUAUUGACUCCUGAAUGGUCCAAAACAACCAAAAUGGCAUGUCCCUAAAAUAUUGUAAAAAAAUGAAGAAAUAAAUGUUAUUUUUACUUUACAUAAGUUCUUUAAUAAUUCAAAAGUAUGUUCAGAGCCAACAUAUUUUAAUAAACAGCUUUCAAUAUAGGAUUUUUAAUUUCAGGUGUGUCCCUCACAAAAUGUCCACUACGAAACGAAGUCAUUAAAAUUUGCCAAUAAAGAUCAAUAAACAGUUUUAUAAAAUCAAUGUAAUUUUUGUUUGCAAGAGAUAUAAACAUUAGGGUCUAACAAAAGAAGUGAUGCUUUUAUAACGGCAAUUAAAUUGUUGGUAAGAAAAAUUGAGCACAUCAAAUGGACCAGAGUGAUACCGUAUUUUUGCUAAUGUCCACUACGAAACAUUUCUGAUUUGUAGCUCCAAGGCAUUUUGUUGUCAUUUGGCCUUUGCCUUUGUAGUGAAUAUGAAAAUAGGGAGAUGAGGUAUGAUUGCCAAUAAGACUACUAUCCACCAUAGUUCAAAUACAGUGGAUGUAAGCAAUUAUAGGCAACCAUAUGGCCUUCAUCAAUGAGAAAAUCCCAUAAUGUAAAGUCAGCUAUAAAAGGCCCACCAGACAUGAGAAAUAUUAAACAAUUCGACUGGGAAAAUUAACUGCCUAUAUAUAUAGCUACAUGUACAUGUACUUGAAUAUUACAAAACAAUUAAUCUAAAACGAAAAUGACAGACAUGAACCAACAACAACCAGUGAACUACAUGCUCCUGACUUGGGACAGGCACAUAAUGAGUGUGGCAGGGUUAAACUUGUUUGUGAGCGCUCAAUCUUUCCCCCUUAUCUGGGAUAGUGACAUAACAGCACCUUUAAAAAUCAGUGGAAAGCUUAAAGUUAUCAGUUUUGUCGAUUUAAUAUGCAUUCAAGAAAAGGAUUGUCCAUAUAAAGUUGCCCUAAAUCUGACACCUCCUUUUCAGUACCCAUGACAUGACUUAGCCCAGUAUUCCCACAAGGGGCAAAUAUAUGUGUAGACUUUUUCAACACUACUAAUCUCAUUGUUGUGACACCAAUCCCCACCAUCUCCUCACCAAUUAAUAUUAACCUCCUGCUCCCCUUUGGCUUCCUCAUUAUUUGACUCAUUAUAGCCCUCACUGUCAUCUUUCCCCUGCCCAUUCUGAUCAAUUCUUAACCUUUCCUCAUUAAGUAAGCAAGACCUAUUUUCCGGCAUUAAUAACAUCAGUUUCACUGAACCUGCAAAUUCUACAUCAGUUUCGUUUGAUGACAUUUUCACACUGAAAUACUAGCAGACGAAGUUGCACUUCCUAAACUGCUUUCAAUUUCGUGCAUUGUUCUCCCAUACAUUCACAGCCCUAUCCGCUUAUUUCACCCGAUACUCGAUCAAAGUGUCAGUGUCACCCGAGUACCAGCUUUUCAAAGCCAUAUCUCUGUUCCCUCGAAAUCGAGAAUUGUUUUUGUAGCAAAGCCAUGAACGCGAAAAAAACUUACAAAGUGUCAGUGUCACCCGAGUACCAGCUUUUCAAAGCCAUAUCUCUGUUCCCUCGAAAUCGAGAAUUGUUUUUGUAGCAAAGCCAUGAACGCGAAAAAAACUUACUUGUCUAGUUCCGAUUUGUGGGGGGAAUAAAAAGAUCGCUAUCAUAUUUAUUUAAGAUAUAUUGAACCUUUUAUUUUUAUUAUAUAGUUAAAAGAAUAAUAAAGGGCUUCAUCAAAACACAGAAAACAGCUGUACUUCCACUCCUCGUUAUCGAGAGGAGCCAUUUUGAAACCCCACAAUGACCUCACGUUUUUCCGGUUCUAAUUUUAGAAAAUAAAAUUUUCCAAUUUGAUUUAUUUACCUUUCACGAUGUUUUUAAUGCUGUUGAAGAACUGAAAUAAUACCCUCAGAUAUCGUAGAUUUUAAUUGAAACAUUGAUUUCAACUUUUAAGAACGGCAAAUAGCGUAAAAUUGCAGCUUUUAUUGGGACAAUAUUUAUGUAUCCUGAAAGAUACACUCGCCCUGCGCAUCGUGUAUCCUCAAGGAUACAUCCGCCCUGCGCAUUGUGUAUCCUCAAGGAUACACUCGCCGCGAAAGGGUUAAUGUCACUACGAAACAGGUCAAAUCUCCUUCAGUAUCUGGUUUUAAAAAUUAUGAAAAAAAUAUCAGUGUACAGCUUAAUAAAUGCUUUGAUGAAUACAAUCAGUCUUGUUACUAUUGCAAUAUAGGGAUUGUGGGGAAAAAAAUAAAACAUGCGAAUAUGUCCCCUACAAAACAGUACACAAAUUAUGAAAAUAAUAUCAUUUAAAGAAUAUUUAAGAUUGCACUUUUUGUUUACAAACAGGUCUAUAAUAAUAGAGGUAUUAAAAAAACUCUUGAAAUUAAAUUUAUUUUAGACGAGUUGAUUUUCCAUUUUUUUAGGUCUGAAAGUUGCGCUAUUAUUGAAAAACGCCCUUAUAUGUCUCUGCCUAGAUUAUCAAAUAAUCUAAUAAUCAUAAUUUGGUCUUGUAAUCAAAUAAUCACUAUAUUAAAAAACGGCCAAGUAAUGGCAUUUAUAAUAAAAAAAACUCGUGAGGAGGCUCAUGAAAAUACACAGCAGAAAUCACUUAUAAUCAAAUAGCAAAAGAAAGUUGCUAAUAAGCACCAGGUAGCAACAUUUAAAGCGGCAAGCCUAGAAAUUCGCAAGCAGCGAUGAUAAUUUAGCAAUGAGAUAAAAGAGUUUAAUUGGUUUUUACAGGCACUCUAAAAAUAAUUUUGACCAUUACACCAGCUAGAAAUGUAACUGGCCAUGAUAAAAUAAUAGUUCUGCCAACUUUUAAUGAAGCAAAUGCGUGAGAUUCAGCCAUAAUUGUAAAUUAAGAUCAUAGACAUGAUAGAGAAAAAAACAAUAGAUCAAAGGAAAAUGUGUGAGUCUCGUGCUGUGCAAGACUUGCCAUCCCUGAAAUGAGAGACAAAUGAGGCCAUAUUUCUAGUCUCAUUUGGCAGUGUAUUCCAGAGUCUUAUUUUUAGUUACCCUGACCCGACAGGUCGAGUAAGCUUUUCUUAUGACUUAUUGGCUGUCGUCGUCGUUGUUGUCGCAUUUGUUUGUUGACUUACAAAAAUCUUCUCCUGAAACCACUGGGCCAAUCUUAACCAAACUUGGACACAUGCAAUCAUCAUUAGGGUAUCUAGUUUAAAAAGUCUGACAAUCUGGUCUGCCAACCUACAUGGUCGCCAUUCCUAGACAUAGAAUUUGGGGGUAAAUGCAGUUUUUGGCUUAUAUCUCUGAAACUAAAGCAUUUAAAACAAAUCUGACACAAGCAAAAAUGUUCACCAGGUCAAGAUCUGCCCUGAAAAUUUCAGAUGAAUCGGACAACCUGUUGUUGGGUUGCUGCCCCUGAAAAAGAAAUUUUAAGGAAAGUUUGCAGUUAGGGUUAUUAUCUUGAAUAUUAUUAUAGAAAGAGAUAAACUGUAAGCAGCAAUAAUGUUAAGGAAAGUAAGAUCUACAAAUAAGUCAACAACCCAAAAUUGUCAAUUAGCCUCUUAAGGAGUUAUUGCCCUUUAUAGUAAUUUUUAGCUCACCUGACCCAAAGGGCCAAGUUAGCUUUUCUCAUCACUUAGCGUCCUGUGUCCGUUGUCGUACAAAAAUCUUCUCCUCUGAAACUACUGGGCCAAAUUAAACCAAACUUAGCCACAAUCAUCAUUGGGGUAUCUAGUUUAUAAAAUGUGUCCGGUUACCCGGCUAACCAACCAAGAUGGUGGCCAUGGCUAAAAGUAGAAAGGAGUAAAAUGUAGUUUUUGGCUCAUAUCUCUGAAACCAAAGCAUUUAGAGCAAAUCUGACAGGGUAAAAUUGUUUAUCAGGUCAAGUUCUUUCUACCCUGAAAUUCUUAGAUGAAUCAGAGAACCCGUUGUUGGGUUGCUGCCCCUAAAUUGGUAAUUUUCAGGAAAUUUUGCCGUUUUUGGUUAUUAUCUCAGAGCUCCAGAUAAGAAUUCACAAAUUGGGGUUUUUACCCACCAUUUUCUUCUAUAAUUGGGUGAUAAAGUUUUUUAAUUAUAUUAUAAAUUCCAAUUUACCCCUCAAGUUAAUACCAAAUUGGGUUUUUCACCACCAAGCUCCUUAAUGUACAGUCUGCACGGUUAGCCACUAGUCCGAUGCCCCAGACUUGUAAAAAUUCAUUUGGACUAGUAAGAUUUUGCAAAACUUUGAUUUGACCAAUAAGAAAAAUUUCAGAAUAUUGGUCUUCGGACUAGUAGUUGAAAAGCUUUUGGUGCAGACUGAAUGUAUUGGGUUUUUUCAUCAACACAAUAUUGAAUAUUUAGGCAAUAUCAACCUCAGAUUUUUUUCCAACUUAAAUAUGUCAUGUUGUAUGUUUCUUUCUUUCUUUAGCUGUUUUAUUUGGUUUAGGGUUAGGGUUAUUUGCUAGCUGUUUGGUUUAUUCACAGAGGAGCAAUUAAUUUUGUAGGUUUAAUUUGUGUCCCGUUUCAAACCUUCUGCCAGUUUUGUAUUUUCUCACAAAAACGGAUAUGUGUAUUCACAGGCACUCGUCUUAUACAUUUAUAUAAUAGAUUCUGAGACCAGUGCCUGUGUGUAUAUAUUCAUUAAUAAACCUUAAAAUGAAAAAAAAAUAGUAUAUAAACUCUAAUUAUACUUGAAUGCUUUUGUUUUAUUCAAUUUAUAUAAAAUCUGGGUUUAGUUGUCUUUUAUUAGAACUUUUGGUUUCUGAUGCUUUAUCAUGUCAUAAUUGAUUUGGCCAUUUCACUUUUUCCAACUGAUUUCGUUUUUGACGAAACCCCUCGUUUAUUAGCAAUGUUCUCGUUAAGGUACGCACACAUGCCUGUGCGUUCGAUGGACGCUUCCUAAAAACACUGGCUGAGUCUUGUUAUCAUCAUAACUUUCCCUCAGCUUUUCAAAAGAAGCAGAAAACAUGCUUCUAUUCAAUAUUUUUACCAGACAUUCACUUUCGUUUUAAUUCAAUGUAUGUUAUGAUAAAUCCUGAGCAAUGCGAAAAAAAUAUGACUAUGUGACACACGCUAAUUGGAUAAACGCCGAGAAGAUCGAAAUGUUUUCAAAAACAUGUGUACCUAUUGAGCAAGGGAAAACUCUUAACAGGGACCCAUUUUAGCUGCUUGAUGCAGGGAUCUAUUUAUAUAUAUUUUCUAUAAAAAUCUUGAUUUAUUUGCCACAAAAUCCUCUUUUUCUAUCAAAUGCAAUGAAACAGUAAAAAAUAAUGCUUUGCAUCAAGUUUCCCCUUGGAACAUGUACUAAAUGGCCUAUCUCUAUUAUUUAUUAUAUCUUUAGUUUUGAUACAAUUGAGGUUUGAAAAAUUCGUACAAAAAUGGCUACAGAAGGGUACAUAAACCUUAAACCAAAGUUGGUCUCAAUCAUUAUUGGGGUAUCUGUCACCGAGGGCCAGUGUGGCAUGCUUUUUGCUAGGGGGGGGACUAACUAUGCAUGCUUGACCCAAGGGACAGGGGGUCAGUCCAUAAAUAGACUUACGACAGACAAGUGGCAAAGUUAAUACUCUAAAACGUUUAACAAUUUAAUAAAUAACAAUAUAUGCCAAAGAUAAUUCCAAAUAAUUUAAACAAAUGCACUAAAGAAUUUAAAUGUCACUGUUCGUAAGAAUUAUCUAAUCACUUUUGUAUAAUCACUAGCUGGAAUUGUCCGAAAUGCACUUGUAAGAUGAAAUUGUCCAAAUAGUUAUAUUCCUUCGAUAGAACUGGCUCCAGGGUUGAAGGUCUUGAUCCGAUGAGUUGUUGGUCUUUCCUUUGUUUUCGGGUUGAUGGCGUUCCAAUGUUUCAGAUGAUCGCUGGGCAAUCUGUUGUUACUGAUUGUUGAAUAACCAAGACUGGAACAAGACGGUACUCUGCAGGAUCAAUCCAAGUCCUUCACGCUUCUAACUGUUGUAACGGUGACUGUGACUUAGGGCCGUAUUAGAAUUUCUACGAACUAUUUAUACCAAAACUGAAAAGAGCUCAAUGUGACAAGUAAAAUCUUAAUUGAUUCGAGUAAUAACAUGAAAUGAUAAAGUUAAAAUAUGAAUAGUAAAUUAAUUAAAGAUUACAAUUAAAGGAUUUAAAAUGAGUUAUCAAAUGACAUCUGUCUGCCUAAUUAACAAAUUGAACAAUUACUGUUAUUCUCAAAAACAUAUGUGACAUAUUCAAAUAUUUCUAAUUAGUUUGAAGGUAAUUAAAUUAAGAUAAAUUCAAUGAGAAUUAAAUAAGAAAACUGUAAAUAAAUAUAAUCCUAAUGGAAAACUAUCUUUUGAUUCCAAACUUAUUCAAGAUUUAAAAAUUAAAAUAUGAAAUUAGAAAAAUGAUCAAGAAUACUAAAAAUGGUUUUAAAAUCCUGAAAGGGAAAAUGCACCUAUGACAUAUCUAAUACUAUUUAUUAUGAUUUUAACCUUAUUUAACGUGAUUUCCAAAACCACAGUAGAUACAGGUGAGGGACGCAGGCUCUUGAGAUCCUCUAGUUUAUUAUUUUAAAAGUCUCCAAUGCAGUUGAGUAUUAGCUGCCUUGUGAACUACCACCUUUGAAUAUGGCUAAGUAAAAUUGCUAUCUGAACAGACUUUUUUUUUUUUUUUUGAAACCUUACUGUCUUCAGUGUUUGAAUAUGGGAUCAUCAGUUAACUUAAGUGCCUGCACAGUUUUGCACAUGGAACAAUCAUGAAUGGUGAAAGAAAUUCAUUUAAGAUAUAUUAUCCUUUUUCAGCCAAUGGACAAGUAUGCCCACCUGGAUGGGUUGAUGGUCCUAUGGGUAAGAAGUGCUACCUUUUUGCUGAUAACCACAAAAGAAAUUGGUUUGAAGCUAAAUAUGUAUGUAAUUCUAUGCGGGCACAGUUGUUGUCAAUUGAGGACUCUCUUGAGAUGG